UGUGUGAAGUACAAAUUUUGGUAGGCUUUGACACAUGUAUACAUAUCUGAAACCAUCACAUCAAUCAAGAUAUUGAAUAUAUUAGUCCUUUUAAAGUUUUUGUAUGUACCUUUAUAAAGUUUUCCUCCUUAUUUCACCCUCCAUCCUCAUCUCCAGACAAUGCUAAUUUGCAUCAAGUCUUUGUAGUGAUUAGUUUACAUUUUCUGGAAUUUUACAUAAAUGAAAUCAUACAAUAUAUACUCUUAUCUAAGUGUCUUCCUUCACUCAGAAUAAUUAUUUUGAGAUCUAUCCUUAUUAUUGCACCUACCAAUAGUCCACUCCUUUCAUUGCCAAAUAGUAGCUCAUUGCAUGGAAAAUCCUCAACCUGUGCAAUUGCUACUGAUGGACAUUUGAAUGUUUUACAGCUCAGAAGUAUUAGAAAUAAAGCUAUAUGAAUAGUUUUGGUUUUUUUACAGGGUCUUGCUAUGUAGUUCAGGCUGGUCUCUAACUCAUAGUGAUCCUCCUUCUUCAGUCUCCCAAGUGCUGAGAUUACAGCACUUAGAUUAACACCAUGCCUGGCUAGUGCUGUAUAGUAUUUAUGGACAAGUCUUCCUGUGGAUAUAGUUUUCAUUUUUCUUGUGUAAGUACCUAUAAACUGGCCAACUCAGUUUGAUCAAAUUUUAUAUAUAUAUUUAACUUCUUAAGAAACUAUCUAUUGCCUUUCAAAGUGGCAUAUCAUUUUAUAUUUAUAUCAUACUGUAUGAUAGUUCUAGUUGCUCUAUGUCUUCAUCAACACUCUGUAUGGUCAGGUUUUUGAAACAUUAGCCAUUCUAGUAAGUGUGAGGUUGUGUUUCAUUGUGGUUUUAAUUUGCAUUUUCCUAAUGACUAAUGGUAUUGAACAUCUUUUCAUGUAUUUUCUUGACAUCUUUUGUAGUGACAUACCUGUAACUACAGGUUAUGGGUUUUUGUACUUUUUUUUUUCUCACAGAGAUUCUAUAGUGAUGAGAGUGUUGAUAUACUACAUACAAUGUCUGUGUAUUUCUAAAUUUGUGGCAGAACUACUGGAGGAGACAGCACUAGUAGUUGGAAACAAAUAUCUAUAUUAAGUUAACAGGUAGCUACAUAAGCAAGCUGAUAUUUAGCACACUGAUACUAUUAACAUGUAUUCAAAUUGGCAGAAAUGAUGGUGAGUGAGGGAAAUAAUCAGUGCAUAACAAGGGGACAAUGGGGAAGGGUGAAAGAACCCAGGUAGGAGAAUAAAAAUUUUGCCACAUCCAAAAUCUCUCUUCCCAUAUUAUCCAUAUCAUGCCCAACCCUUCACAAAGAUUCUCCAUGUCCUAAUUUUUUUCCAUUAUUAUAAACUUUUUGCUGUUUUAUAACAAAUAUGUUAAUGAGAUGGGUACCUUAGCUCAACAGCAGAAUCUAGCUAUUGACUAUGCUUCAUGGUAAUCUUCCCAAGAACUUUCAAUAGUGGGCCACAUGAUCAGAAACCCAUUUGUUGGAAGAAGAAAGUUUAUGUGGAUGUAUGUUAACAUAUAGCAAAUUUUGUAUUAAAAGAACAAAAACUUCCAGGAAGAUGGCAGAGUGGUAAACAACAACAAAUCAGCCUCUGCAAGAUUCAGAAACCAGACACUGGAAAAUAACAGCUUGGGGAAGACAAGAAGGAAUGAGGUGAAUCCCUGGAACCUAGGAAGGUUCCUAAAGAGAAAUUGAAGAGACAGACCACAACACAGAAAAAGGGUGAAUUGGUCCUGGUUCAUGGAUUGUGAGAAAGGAAAACUGAAUCUACAGAGACACAGUGAAAUCAGGUAACCAUAGAGGUGUUUAGGAAGAAAUGCACCAGUGAAAUGGAGCAGUGGAUGCUGUAUCCUACAACAGCUGACCACCAUGAGGUGAGAAUCCUGCUUUGUCAUGUGUUCCCAUCAUGAGAUGCUGUGCCACCAUAAGCAUAUAGCAACAGGGCCAUGUGACCAUGGGCCAAAAACUAUGAAACUAAGAGUCAAAACAAACCUUUUCUCUUUUUAAGUUGAUUAUCUCAGAUAUUUUGCUCCACUCUGGAAAGAUGAUCAACACAGAUUUUUUUCUUUUUCUUGAACAAGAGAAGGAAUACUCUACAUGUACUUUCAGGAGGAAGAUGGAAUUGUGCCUUCUUUACAAUAAACCUCAUAGGAGGGGAGCUAGACAGAAGCCAAGCCUUUGUAGAAACUUGCUGAUUAUGGAUUCUGGAUAUAUUGAUGUGGGAGAGUUCUUUGUGGAGGACAAGAGGAAUUGGACAAAAUGAUGUUUAAGAAAUCAACAUGGACUCCUUGACUUGAAAACUGACAGAACAGCAGUGUUUUUCUUUGCUUCACAUAAAUUCAAAAAAGUGGAUACUACCUGUGUGAGUAACAUGCCUCAUAGGAAAGUUCUGAAAACCCUAAUUCCUUGCAUUGCUUUGCAGGGGAAUUUAAAUAACACCUGAAAUUUACAGAAAAAAACACAAAGGAGAGUUAGAUACAGCUGUGUGCUUAAAAAGUGAUAAAUGAUCUUGCUGUCUCUCAAAUACAAGCAUUUUAAUUGUGCAUUCUUUUGUUCUUUGAAAAAAAUUUUGAUUACUACACUGAAACUGUAGAAUACAGACUUGAUAAGAUCAAAGUAAUUUACCUUAGAUACUCCUCAUCUGGGAGAAUUUAAUUGAUAACCUAACUUGGGUGGAGAUGCAUUCUAAUUGGAAUUGAUUACUGUGGGAUUUUUAUAUAUACUAUGAUGCACUGUGAGUUAUAGCACCACAAGAUAUAAAAUUGGAUAAAAUUUUGACUGGUAUGAACCACUUGGGUAUUUUUAUCCCAACUACAACAGCAUUUGCUGAGAAAUGCUCAUUAAUUGGAACCAUUUUCUAGGUUGGAUAUUAUUUGGAAAACAUGGGACUAUGUCCAUGGUGGUUGCACAUUUAAUAGAACUAGAAGCAAAAACACACAAAUGGUUAAUAUCUUAGGACUGCAAUGGCAAUAGGUUGUGGCUUGCAUGUCACCCAUAACUGAAUUGCAGCACUUCUGUGACUCUUCACUCUUCACUGGAUGGGAGUUUUUAGCUUAGAAUUUAACAAGUUUUUCUGGCCUUUUUCCUAGCAAUCUACUAUGACAGCCAACCUGACUCAAUGCCAUUUUGUAUCUGUGCUUGCACAAAGUGCUUGCACUUAAAAAAAAGCACCCAAAACCCCCACAUCCUGCUUGGCAGUAAACUUGCUGCAGUUAUAGGAUGUUUUAUAGCUCACCUAGUGUGUGUCAAACUUCCUUAUACCCCCCACUAAUCUGGAAUGGUUCUGCUUCUGUAAGAUUCCUCUUGCUCUCCCCUGAGCCCUCCCCAACUGAAAGCAUGAUUUAAAUGGAGAAAUCAAACUACUUCCCAUUGCCAAGGAAACUUUCUGGGUGCUAGUCCCUCUUGGCCACUGGCUAUAGUAAAUGGGCUUGAAUCUGGCACAGUGUGGUGCAUCUCUAUUGUUCAAACUCACUCGUCCAUAAUAGCUGGAGGCCCCAGUGAGAUGGCCACAAUGGGUGGAAUGGCCUUGCUGUGAUCCCUCCCAUCUGUGGCUGCAAACUAUAGGGGAGAUGCCCCCUGAGACGUUCCAGGCCCCUAUAGUCUCACUGCCAACCCUGAAGGGACUGCAGAGAUGCCUGAGAUGCCCUCCAAAUUUUCUGAAGCCCAUAUUUUCUGGUAAGGAUCCUUCAGGUUCGGGUGGGGAACAGCAGUCCUUGAUGAAGGCAUUUCCCAGGGCCCCUCCAUAAGGUCAGGACACUGACUGAGGUGGCCCCCUGGUCUGGUCUGGCUGUAAGCCAGCCAAUCUGGUAAAUCUCCGGGGAUAGGGUUGGAAUGUCUUUAACCUCUGAAUGAUUGUGUAUGAAUGAAUGAAUGACUGGCAAUAAGCAGUGGAAACAAUAGACUGUUCCAUCCGUGCCCCACACAAAGAGGGGGAUUCCUCCUUGGAAUUAUGGGACUUGAUUGGGGUGGUACUGUGGUUCCAUGGACACAUCUAAGAAAGACCAAGUGGGUGCUCUUGCAAUGAGAUAAAUACACCCUAAAGCCUGGAUGGUCCUUAAAGUGGCUGAGAGGCCCAUGGUUAGUCAACCAACUAAGUGGUUCCUCCCACAGAGGAACACCCCCUCCCUUUGUCUGUCACGAUAUCUUUCAAGGGUGCACCACAUAAACACUAAGGCCUCUUUCUCUAUGUCUGGAGCUCUUAUCUUUUUAUGUGUUCCUGGACCUCCUAAAAUUGGAUAUCUCCUGCCUGCCCUAAGUCUCUCCACCAUGGGGUCGUCAUCUUCACAACCUGUUACACCCCUGGUCUGCAUGCUUAGAAAUUUUUCCUUGGAAUUUUCUGAUGAUUGUGGAGUGAAAUCAUCAAAGGACAAACUCCACACUUCUUAUGAGGUUGAGUGGCCCUCUUUUGGUGUGGGCUGGCCCUCUGAGGGCUCCCUGAACCCUGCCUUCAUUCAAGCAGUUUGGAAGGUUGUUUAGGCCUGUGCUGCAAAAGCCUAUUAAAAGCUGCUUAUUUCCAAAAACUGUUCUCUCCCUUGUAGGUGAACUCUGAAGAGACAGAAACUGGUUCUGCAGCAGUCAGAUGCUGAGGAAGUCCUCCCCUGUCCCCCUCUGUAUAACCGUAGUUCACCUCCUCUCCUGUCCAUCAUGACCCAUCUGGCCCCAGCUCCCUCAUUUUUUCCUUUAUGUCCCUUGCUACCUCUCCCUCCAUAUGAGAGCAUCUCCAAUCCCAGCAAGAGGUCACCACCUUGGAAAGAUGCAGUCCAGAGAUUCUCUUGCCUUUGAGGAGGCACCUCCUCCUGAUGGAGCAGGACUGGGAAACUGCCUGUUCCUGGUAUAUGUUCUCUUUUCCACCUGACCUCUACAACUGGAAAACCCAGAAUCCACCAUUCUCUAAGAGGCCCUAGAUUUUGAUUUCCCUGAUAGAGUUGAUCUGUAGGACUCAUCUACUGACCUGGGAUGGCUGUCAGCAGUUAUUGACCCUGUUCACCACUGAGGAAUGGGACAGGAUUAGGUUUGAAGCUAGAAAGCUCUUAUGGGGGGAGAGGCGCUCAAAAGAGGAGGCCCACGAAUUGCUGAGGCAAGGGUUCCAAAUUCUUCAGUGGGAAGGGAGGCUUUACUCACCUUUCACCAAAACUUGUUAAAUGGGAUUUGAACAGAAACUCAGAAACUCAUAAAUCUUUCAAAAACCACUGAAGUGACACAGGGACCAGAGGGGUCUCCCAGUGCAUUCCUGGAGAGACUCAGAGAGGCCUUCCUGGUUUAUAUCCCGUUCAACCCCUCUGCUCCAGAGAACAAUAGAGCUAUAAAUUUGGCUUAUGUUACUCAGUCUGCACCUGAUAUUAGGAGAAAAUUACAAAAAUUGGAGGGAUUCUCAGGAAUGAACACAUCUCAGCUGUUAGAAGUAGCUCAAAAGGUGUUUGACAAUAGGGAUUCAGGAUAACAAAAAUUGGCCAUAGCCAUGGCUGAGCAGUUGGCAAAGAAAGAAGCAAAGAUCUUGGGAGCAGCCAUCAGAGGGGACCCCAUGGAACCCAUCCCUGGGAAGCCCAAAGGGCAGAUGCCUAGAAAGCCAGGAGGACACCUGCCAUUGGACAGAAAUCAGUGUGCCUUUUUCAAGGAGGAAGGACACUAGAAAAAUGAAUACCCCCACAGGCCCUCUGCCAAGGUACUAUCUCUUCCCAGGUCGAGGGAAAAAGAAGAUUCAGACUGAGGAAGUCAGGGCUUCUUCUCUCUUGGUCCCUGGGAGCCCAUGGUAAAUGUUGAAGUAGGGGGCCAAUAAGUUUGUUUUCUGGUGGACACUGGCACCAAGAGGUCAGUAUUAAAAAAAUCUCCUGGGAAAGUUUUCAUCACAAACUGUUCCCAUCCAGGGGGCCACAGGAGCAGUCCAAAACUGCCUGCUCACAAGUGAGUGACUAGUGAGCCUGGGAUAAAAAUAAAUUACUCACUCUUUCUUGGUUAUACUGGACUGCCCAUUCCCUUUGCUGGGAUGAGACCUCAACAAUACCCCAUCUCUCAGAAGGCCAGACAGGGGAUAGCCCCUCACAUUAAGAGGUUGAUGAACUUUGGGAUAUUAACUCCCUGCAAGUCUCCAUGAAACACCCUGUUCCUACUGGUACAGAAACCAGGGACAUCAAAUUACAGGCUGGUUCAGGACUUGAAAGAAGUUAACCAGCAAGUGGUAACUCUGUAUCCUACUGUCCCUAACCCAUAUACCCUCCUAAGUUUGAUGUCUCCUGAGCACCAAGUGUAUACUGUGCUAGAUUUAAAGGAUGCUUCUUUUAGUGUCCCCCUUGCCCUAGCUAGCCAGUCUAUCUUCACUUUGGAGUGGACUGAUCCAGUUUCCAACUACUCCUGCCAGCUCACCUGGGUACCUCAAGGAUUCAAAAAUCCACCCACCCUGUUUGGUGAGGCCCUCCAGAAGGACUUGGUGAGUUUUUGAUCCCACCACCCUAACCUCACCCUGCUUCAAUAUGUGGAUGAUUUGUUAUUAGCUGCUGCUAGCUAUUCGGAAUGCAUGCAGGGGAUGCAAGAGCUUCUUCAGUUACUAAAGGAGUUGGGCUACCAUGUCUUGGCCAAGAAGGCACAACUCUGUGCCCCUAAAGUAUCAUACCUGGGGAAAUCUUGGAAGAAGAGCCUUGUUCCAAGCCAGGAUAAGGGCCAUCCUCCAGAUACCCACAUCAACUACCAAGAAACAGGUAUGAGAAUUCCUAGGUGCAGCUGGAUAUUGUUGCCUAUGGAUACCUGGGUUUGCUGAGAUAGCAUGGCCCAUCCAUUCUGCCACAGGAGAAAACCCCUAGAAUGGGGAAUAGAUAAAGAAGAAACCUUCCAGAAUCUGAAAAGAACUUUGGUAUCAGCUCUGGCUCUGACAUUACCCAAUGUUACUAAGGCUUUUUGUUUAUUCAUCCAUGAAGUAAGGUUGCUAAAGGAGUCCUAAUGGAGUCCUUGGGACCCUUGAAGUGCCCUGUGGCCUAUCUCUCUAAAAGAUUAGAUCCUGUGGCCUCAGGAUAGCCUUCAAGUUUUUGGGCAAUAGCUGCCACAGCUUUAUUGGUCAAAGAGGCUGAUAAGUUGACCCUUGGAUGGGUCCUAGUCCUAACUGCCCCUCAUUCAGUAGAGACUCUGCUUGGGCGGGGGGGUGAAUAGCAAAUGGAUGUCAAAUGCCCAUCUCACUCAGUAUCAAAGCCUGUUGCUUGACCAGCCUCACAUAGUCUUCUCAGCAGGGCAGGACAGGUUCUCAAUCUGGCUAGUGAUGCCAGAUAAUGACCCAGACAUCCCAAUUCAUGACCUUGAGGAGGUGCUGGAUCAGAUCCAGGGGGCCUGAUCGGACUUAACAGACACCCCCUUGGCUUAGGCAGAUGCUACCCUCUUCACAGAUGGAAGCAGCAUGGUGGUAAGAUCUACAAAGAGAAAGGGCUUCUAACAGCUCCAGGAAAGACUUUCAAAAACAAAGAAGAAAUAUUGUCUCUCCUAGAGGUGGUAUGGUUUCCCAAGAAGGUGGCUAUCAUUCAUGUUCAGGGUCACCAGAAGGACAAAACACCUGAGGCUAAGGGAAAUCAACUUGCAGACCACCAGCCCAGAGGCCACCUAAACCCUUAGUCAUCCUGCCUACCAUGAGUCCUCCUCCCCCUUUGUUCCCAACUAGCCCUACUUACAAUGAACAGGAAGAUAAAGAAGCAAGCCAGCUGCAAGCAAAGAAAGAUCCCCAAGGCUUCUGGAAAUGUCCAGAUGGUUGCAUCUACCUCCCCCAGGCAUUAGGAUGACAGCUCAACCAGCAGCUGCAUUUGGUCAUGCACCUGGGGGGAUCCAAGAUGGGUGAUCUUCUAGCUCCAAGAUACUGCUUUUCAAAGCUGCAAGAGCUGGCCUGCCAGGCCUCUCCUAGGUGCCCAUCCUGUGUACAAGUAAAUCCCUGCCAUGGCCCAUUUGCAUCCCUUGGGAUCAGAUUCUGGGGUAGGAAUCCUGGAGGACACUAGGAAGUGAAUUUUACAGAGAUCAAAACACCAGUGGGUGGCUAUUGCUACCUCCUAAUUUUCAUAGAUACUGUCUCAGGUUGGACAGAGGUCUAUGCUACUUGGCAGGAGACCACCACUGUGGUGGCAAAGAAACUUCUUCAGGAAUUAAUUCCCAGAUUCAGACUACUGGUGUCCAUUGGAUCUGACAAUGGCCCUGCCUUUGUAGCCUCUAUAACUCAGUUAGUCAGUAGGGCACUGGGUAUAAAUUGGAACCUCCACUGUGCCUAAAGACUGCAAAGCUCAGGGCAAGUGGAAUAGAUGAAUCAGACCCUAAAAUCUACUUUGUCUAAAUUGAUAUUGGAAACUGGUGAAGGGUGGGUCAGCCUGCUGCCUUUGGCUGUCCUUAGACUUAGAUGCACCCCUUAUAAAGCAGGUUUUACUACUUAUGAAAUUAUGUUUGGAAGACCUCCUCCUCAAAGUUAAAAGUGAGGUACUAGAUGCCUCACCCCCCAGGGACCAGCAAGUGGAAGGUGAGGACCUUGGCGGCUUGGAGCAGGCUCUGUCCUGCCCACGCCCCACCUCCCAGUGACCAGUUUAGCCACGAAGGUGCCUUCAGCAACCCCCCACCCCCACCCCGUCCUGCCUCUGGCCUCCUGGCUGCGAAGGUACCUACUUCCAUACUACAGAGGCACAGGGGGUCAUAAAGGCUAUUGUCCUGAGCUCCAGAAGAUAGAGCAGAAGUGAACAACAGAAAGAGGACCUCUCUCAGGCCCCUUUAUGAAAACUGAAGCCCACUGGAAAAGUGGAAUCUCUGCAAUAAAGGCACACCAGACCACCAUACUUGAACUAUCAUAGAAACCAGUGAGACAAGGCAUCUCCCAUACACAAGCAAACUACAGCCAUAGGCUUUGAAAGGGACAAGAACAUCUGGAGGAGGAUCCACAAGCAGCUUUUCAAUGAGAGAGGAAAGAAAUAAGCAGAGGUGAAGACAGAAGAGACAGUUCCCCUGACUCUGGUCCAGAAAGGAAUGCUGUGGAAAGUGAAGACUCGGGAGCACAGGCCUGAAGGCACUGGCAUGUUGGUGUGAAUUCCAGCUCUGCUACUUAUUGGUAAGAAGUUACCUCAUCUCUCUACAUCUUUGGUUCCUUGGCUCUGUAACAGAAGUUAAUAAUACCAAUCUCAUGGGGUUACUGAGUAUUACAUGUGUUCAGAAAUAUAAUAAUCCAGAGUAAAAACUAUAUACAUAUAUCUCCCUAUAAUCAAACUCAUGAUAUUUUAGGAGUAUGUCAGUCUAAUGUUCUGAUGGAAAACAGACUUGUACCAAACAAAAGAAUAAAAAGGACAAUGUCAGUAUAAAUCCAGUAAGGUCAAUGAAAAACUAAAUGUUUUCUAUAAGUAUUGAAAGUAAAAGACAAGCCUGGUUUCAGCAACAGAAGCAAAUUAUACUAGGGAACCUCAGAGGUGAAAGAGUCUACUCCAAUCUCUUACCCUAAGUGAGAGAUCUGGAUAGUACCCAAGGAGGGAAAGAAGCAAGGACAGGUUUGAAUAUCAGGGAAUCCUGGGCUUAUUGGUUUAUGAAUUUCUAGGGUACUACUGUCUGGUUGCUUCUCCCUCUGAUCUCCUUGGGUCAGUGGACUUAAUAAAAUCAUGGGCUUGUACAUCCAUGUGGCCUCAUCAGUUCCACAUCACAACUAGAAGAGACCAAAUAUUGAAGUGGGCUGAGCUCAUGCUCCUGGUGUAGUGCCAUUCAGGUGGCUUCCUGCUUGAACUGUCCUCCCUGUCCUUGCUAUUACUGAAUAUAAAGCCAGUAAAUACUCUCUAUAGUAUUGAAAGUAAACCUCUUCCCUAUGAAGAAUGACAAGGUUUGCACACAUAUGGAAGAAAACAGCCCACUUGCCAAUUAUCACAAAGGAAAGGCUGUCCAGAAGCAAGCUAAAUAAAGUCAACAAGAUAAGACAAGCAGCCAGGGAAAUGCCUGGAAAAUAUCUACCAGGAAAAUGCCAGGCACCCACCAAAUGCUAUCAUUACUAAGAUAUGGCAGCCAGGGCAGAAAUGGGAGCACCCAGAAUUGAUAUGAAAUAACCUUUAAUCUCAGGCAGUUUUCCCUACUGGGCACAAUAAAGUCAUUAACAUCUUACACAAAGUUCUUUACUUAAAAAAUAUGGCAACAAGACUGCUGUUUCACUGAUGAUCAGGGAAGGGGAGAGAUCUAGUUCAGAGGACCUACUGUCCUCACCUGCAGUGAUUAUUGCUUAUUGGAGUGAUCAACAGCCCCAAAUCAUUAUAAUUUACAAUAAAAACAUCCAUUUCUCACACAUAGAUCUGUGGAUAGGUGUGGCCCAACUGGAUUCAGAUCCAGAAUGUCGGUGAGAAGCAAAUCACUUGAUGUGCCUCUCCUGCUAGAUCAAAGUGCAGAUAAACAGCCACCUGAGGUGGGCACUCAUGUUGUACAAAAGCCUUACACAGGCCCAAUUAAAACAUGCAAGUACCUUUACACACUUGCUUAAGAAUGCCACAAAUCAAAUUCAUGCACCACCUACUGGUAAAAGCAAUAGGAUAGGGAAAUUCACUCCUUCAACACAGCAUGGAAAGGGGAGGUGAAGAUUCAAUAGAAAAGAAAAGAAGUAGGCUAGUUUCUAGAUCCUCAGGAGAAAAGAAAGGAUGUAGCAAUCUGCUCAGAGAAAUUUCUAGAAUGUUCUAAUGGCAUAAAGACCCAUGCACCCUAUCACUGUACAGUCAAAGUAAGGACAGGAUUCAGUAAUGAAUCUCAUUAGCUGAUAAGAACUAAGAUUUUUUGGUUUUGAUUCUUACAUAUAUAUAACAAUCAAGUACGUACAACUCAGGUACAUAUGCUACAAGUAGGAAGCAAUAAAUGCCUUUUAUUCUAAAUAUGCCACAGAAGAAAAAAGAAAUAUGUGAUGAUACACCUCUAUUCCCUUACAUUAAAUUUUAAAUAAACAGAGUUGAGUGCUAGAGUACUUUGUAAUUACUUUAAAUUUUUAAAAAAGUUUAUACAUAGGUCACAAAAAACAAAAGAGUAAGACCCACUUAGAAGAAAAAUGUCUAUUAUCUGCUCACAUUGGUGCUUAAAGGUAAAAAAAAAACAAAAAAAAACCAACUGUGUAAAUUCCUAGAAGCUCCCUUAUAGUAUACUGGUUUUCUUUCCUCCCUCCCUCCCUCCUUCCCUUUGUUCCUUCCAUUCUUUUUCUUUUUAAAGAACAAAGCCUUCAUUGUAGCUCACAUUACUUGAGCAUAUGGGUCAACUGUGCCUCUGUUCUAGGUCUGUCCUCCAGAACCCAGGCAGGUGGAACUGCUCUUUUCUUGCACAUUGUUGGUUUUGUGGCAGACCAAAGGAGGCUCAUCAGUGACUAGGGAGACACACACCACCUCAGGAAGAGGCAGAAAGUAUUUAGAUCCACAAUACAAUCUAGCACACCCUCCUUGGACUACAGCAGCUGAGGACACAUUCUCCAUUCGAUGGUUAGAUGACCACCUUGGCAAGAUUCCAGCCACACUGAGUUAUGCAGGCAUUCAAGAGCACAUCCCUGUUUGCCUUCUAAACCAUUUACUUAAAGGAUUUAAACAAGUGCAGCUCAGGAGGUGUGGUGUCCAUCGCCACCUAUAAUCUAUUUCACUUUAUCAAUCUAGUUUUAAUACUACUGACCACAGAGGAAGAAAUCUAAAGACAAGGAAUGUUUCACUGGUAGUUUGGGGGGGAAGUUCUUUACUCCCAGCCCACUCAUGGGGGUGGGACAGAAGGAGGGUUGUGUCAGCAUGAUCACUGUGAUGGCUUUUCACACAAUGCCACAGUUACCCACGAUGCCACCUGCUCAGGCUAACACUCCUUCACUGUGAACUGACUGACACUGGUGAGCACAAUACUACACUCCCAAUUCUUUUUUUCUUUCCCAUUUCCCUCCCCUCUCUUCAACUCUUCUUCCCCUCCCCAUCUGCACAAGCUUUGUUUCCAUUUUUUCCUUUCAUUCUCUUUUUUCCUUUUCCCUGCUUUCCAUUCUCCCUUCUCCCCCUCCCUUGUUCCUCUUCUCAUUUGAAUAUAUUUUUCCUACGUCCCAACAUCUAUCCUCCAUUCUGGUACUUAUUUACCCUUUGCUUUUCUUACAUAAGAGAAAGAAUGUGAUAUUUAAACCUUACACCCCAAUUCUAUGGAACAAUUUUUACUUAGUUCACAUCCAUGCUUUGUAAGUGCAACUUGACACUCAACCAUUUCCUAAACUGGAUUCUUCCUGUUACCACAUUAAGGUAUAAGGCUCAGGGAGGCCAGUAAAGGUCAAAGUUGCAGAAAUAAACAUGAAUAAAUGCAGUGAUAUUCACAGUACACUCUAGUGCAGGUUCUGAAAAGCUAAAGGCGCCAUAGGGGUGUGAGAGGAGAACCCCAGGUUAGGUAUCAGGAGAUAAGCACUUAUGAACCAUUACGUUCCCAAGUCCACCGUCCUUCAUGAAUGAUACCAUCAUUCUCCUAGGCAGUUGGGUCCAAAAGAUGAGCAAGUUCUGACUGCAUCGUCUAUUUAUAUAACUCACAUAACUUAUUAUGUCCCUCCUGCAUAUCCCAGGGUUGUGCUAGACCCUUGAAUCUACUUCUUCUGAUCAAAAUAGCAACUCUACUUUUUAAGUAGCAAGGGAAUUAAUUCCAUUCAAAUUGAAAAAAAAAGAUAGCAAAUCAAAUCAAAAGCAGGCAAGUCAAACACAAGACAAAUUUCAAAGCCUAUCUGUUAUUCAUGAUGCUGUGUGCCUUCUAUUGCUUUCUUCAUAGCCCCUUUUGCCCCAAUGAGAAUUUUAAAUCUCUUUUUAGUGGAUACAGUUGAAUUUAUCUUUGAUAUCCUUCAUGCAUGCAGCACAGUACUCUAUGCACAGAAGAGAGUCAAUGACUGCUAAACAAAUAAAAGGCCACCUGAAGUCUUCUGAUCUCUGUGGGCCCCAAUUCUUCAAGUAUAAAAAUGGGAGUAUCAAAGACUCUGAUCACAAAAAUGUGCAGAGAUCAAUUUAUUUCUAGACAGUUGCUGAGCACUUACAUGCCAGGCACUGUUCUAAGUACCUCAGCGAUCCUUAUAAAAAGCCUAUGAGAGGUUAUUAAUCCCUUUUUAUAGCUGAAAAAGCUUAGGAACCAUUAAUUUGUACUGAAGGGUAAAAAAAAAACUUUAGGUGGGGUGUCAAGACCUGAACCCAAAGAGACUGGUUCUAGAGCCCAUAUUCUUAACCAAUAUUGUUUCUGCGAAGAUUGGGGGGUCCAGGAAAAUCAGCUGAAGAACCAUUAGAAAUAGUAAAAACAGUCUGGGGAUGUAGCUCAGCAGCGCAGCACCUGCCUGGUAAGUGUGAGGCCCUGAGUUUGAUUCCUGGCACCCCUCCCACAAAAAAAUAGUAAAAACUAUUGGGAUGUGGUAGGAAACAGAAUUAGAAUACAAAAAAUAUGGCUGAUUACCUCUAAUUAUAUUUAUGCAUACAAUAUAUAUUUAUACUAUGCAUAAAAUAAAUGCUUUCACUUAAUCAAUCAAAAAUUAAUAGAAUAAAAUAUCUCAAUCAAAUUGGAAAAGCAAAUACUCAACUAAAAUACCUAGGAAUAAAUUUAAUAUGCAGAAUAUACAUGUAUACUACAAAAUUCUACUAAAGAACAUUUUAGAAACUCAUUUGUAGGAAAAUGGAUGCACCUGAGACCAUAUUGUUAAGUGAAGUAAAUUAGAUGGACAAGUUUAAAUAUAUCGUUUCUCUUGCAUGAGAAACCCAAAAUGUAUACAGACUAAAAGAAAAGACAGAUAAUAAAAAAUAGGGAGAUAGAUCUUUUGCAAAAGGGAAGGGAACCAAGAGAUACAGGGAGGGGUAGGGAAGAAAAAGAAAUAAGAUAUAUUUGUUGCAUGUGUCACAUCCCUUCAAGGAAUAUAAUUAUUAUGUACUCCAAAUAUGUACCAAUAAUGUAAAAAUUAAAGAAGUCAUUAAGAAAUGGAGAAGAACAUUUUAUCACCUGACAGACUCAGAAAUAGAAAGAAGUGGCUUUCUCCAAAAUUAACCUCUAUAGUUACCAUACUCUAGAUUAAAUUUACUUCAAGAGGGAAUGGUACAGUUACAAAUGAACAUCAUCAUAUAAACUGCAGUCUUUGGCGGUAAUAUUGCGGCGGUACUUACACACUUUUUUUGUUUUGUUUUGUUUUGUUUUUGAGACGAGAUCUCAGUAUGUAGUUCAGGCUGGCCUUGAACUGGAAGCAGUCCUCCUACCUCACCCCUCUCAAGUGCUGGAAUAACAGGCGUGCCCCACCAUGUCCAGCAAAUUUUAUUUUUGUGUCUCCUUUAACACAGCAAUUCUACUUGUAAAAAAUACCUUGCAGAAAUUCCAACACAGACUACUAAAAAUGGACAAGGAAUUUUCAUAUCAGUUUCGUUUCUAAUAGAAAGAAAAAGGGAGAAAGGGGAUUUGGGGAGGAAAAGGGAAAGAAAGGAGGAAAAUGGAGAGGGAUGAGAAGAGAGAAAAAAGGAAAAGGCAACUAACUGCAGGUAAACAACAUUCGGGUACAGGGAACAGAUUUUUAGAUAAUCAUACAAGGGUAUGCUAUGCAAACUUAAAAAGAAAGGGAAGCUUUUAAAUAUACUGACAGAAAGAAGGAGGAGGUGGAACAGGAAGAGGAGGAGGAGUCAGCACAGGCUUAGCUAGGUCUUUUCUACAGACUGAAUGUGUCCCCCCCCAAAUUCCUAUGUUAAACGCUAAUCCACAAGGCUAUGAUAUUCAGAGAUGGGACUUUUGGAACAUAAUUAAAUCAUGGGGGUGGAUCCCUCAAGGAGGACUAGUACUCUCUUAUGAAGAAACAGGAGACAGCUUGCUUCCUCUCUAUGCUAUACUUCCUGUGAGGACACAGAAGGAAUCCUACCCUUUGGUCUGAAACCAGGAAGAGGAUUUUCACCAGAACCCUAACCAUGCCAGCACUCUGAUCUUGAACUUCCAGCCUCCAGAAGUAUGAGAAAUAAAUAUUUCUGUUGUUAAAGCCACCAAUUUUGUUAAUCUAUUAGAGCAAUCCAAACAGACUUGACAGUCUCUGGGAAACUCCAAGCUAUGUCAAUUCAAACUGUAGAAAAAUGUGCAUAAUAAGAUCAACUUAUUUUUUAAUGUGGAGUAUAAUUUGGUAAAGGAGAGAUGAAGAGUAUGGAAGAUGGAGGUUUUCUGUCUUGCCUUCUACAUUUCUGCAAAGAACAUGUAUCACUUUUAGUAUAUGUGCUGCCAAAGCAAGUACGAACAUGUGUUACUUUUAGGAUUGUUACUAAGCAUUCAUUUCAACACUACUGAGUCUUGCGCCAGACACUGGGAUGGUGAAUGUGACUGGCAGGGAGCCCAAGGCCAUUUUUUAAAAAUCCCUAAUUUAAUUGCUUCAGUUAUGAUGUAUUAAAUUAUCAUAUAUAUGCAUCUGUUUGUGGAUCUUUGCAACUCUGUGUAUUUUGGCGCCAGGACCAUGCUAUUUAAAUUACUGAAGCUUUAUAACAGUUUUUGAUACCUGAUUAGGCAGAUUCUCUCUAAACCCAGCAUCAUAACUGUCCUUUCUAAAAAUUCAACUUUAUUGAGGUAUAUUUUACGUACAAUAAAAUGCACCAUGCAAUUGUAUAUUUCAAUGAGAUUUGUCAAAUUUAUAUAACCACUUAACCACCAUCACAACUUAAAAAUUGAUAAACGUAUUCAAACAAUCACCUGGAAUUAAAAUUAGUAAAAACCA
Heterocephalus glaber (naked mole-rat) is the source of this 15646-nucleotide non-coding RNA. NCBI's taxonomy places the organism in Eukaryota, Metazoa, Chordata, Mammalia, Rodentia, Bathyergidae. The record is from RefSeq and is a predicted model, not a curated record.